Molecule: long non-coding RNA, 723 nt
Organism: Pomacea canaliculata
Lineage: Eukaryota; Metazoa; Mollusca; Gastropoda; Architaenioglossa; Ampullariidae
Exons: 2
Source: RefSeq, a predicted model, not a curated record
CAAGAUUGUCUAAAUGCUGUGACGGCUUAAAUAUUUAUUACACACUUUUUUUCUUUUUAAUUUGUCUUCUUAGGUUUUUUCUGGGUCUGUAAAGUAUCCAAAGAACAAAUAUUAACCCGAAGAGAAACAGAAGUAAUAAACUUUAUAAUUAUAUAUAUAUAAGCAAGACUGUCAAAAAUAUUGUUUUAUGUGGUCUUCAGUAUGUAUUUUUAUUACUGAAAUAUGCUCAUUAUUCUUUAUCUUUCUGUUACAGCUAAGCACUGCACUAGCUUCAAUCUAAGUAUGGAAAUAAAUCCAAAUAAUAGCUUAAUUAAUUUCAGAAUGUUAAGAAACUUUCAGUAGUUUUUUUCUGCUAUUUAUAAAAAUACACAAAUUUUAAGAAAAUGUCAGAAUGAGUGUGAAAAGAAAGAAAAGUGCAAAAAAAUGUGUCUUGCUUUGGGCGAGGGGUGUUAGUGGUUGAUUAUGAUGAUAAUGAGAUUUUUCCUCGGACUUUCAGCAUUUCAGUUUUAAGUGACUGGCACAGCGAUUUAAUUUUGGUGAUUGAGGACUGCACAGAAGAGGAAUCAAAGUGAAAGUGGUAGACCAGCUGGAAAUGUCAACAGGAUCGGGACACCUGGAAAAUUUGGCCGCUGACAGCUGACCACCUGAAGUCUUGAUGCAGGUCCAACGAUGUCUGAUGAUGGUUAUGAACAACAUCUUAAUAAAGAUGAAUUCUUCUCAGUU